RNAcentral lists this small RNA (106 nucleotides) under Marmota monax (woodchuck). The record is from RNAcentral. Lineage: Eukaryota; Metazoa; Chordata; Mammalia; Rodentia; Sciuridae.
GCCAGGUAUGAUGGCACGUGCCUGUAAUCCCAGCCCCCUGGGAGGCUGAGGCAAGAGGCUUGCAAGUUGGAGGCCAGCCUCAGCAACUUGAAAGACCCUGUCUCAA